ACGUAGGAGGCGAGCGUUAUCCGGAAUUACUGGGUGUAAAGGGCGAGCAGGCGGUUGGAUAAGUUGGGUGUGAAAGCUCCCGGCUCAACUGGGAGAGGUUGCUCAAGACUGUUCGACUAGAGCGUGGUAGGGGAAGGCGGAAUUCCGGGUGUAGUGGUGAAAUGCGUAGAUAUCCGGAGGAACACCAGAGGCGAAAGCGGCCUUCUAGGCCACGGCUGACGCUCAGACGCGAAAGCUAGGGGAGCAAACGG
Molecule: ribosomal RNA, 251 nt
Filed under: uncultured prokaryote
Description: partial 16S rRNA
Rfam family: Bacterial small subunit ribosomal RNA
Source: RNAcentral